Frankliniella occidentalis (western flower thrips) is the source of this 2349-nucleotide long non-coding RNA. RefSeq lists it as uncharacterized. The transcript is spliced from 4 exons. The record is from RefSeq and is a predicted model, not a curated record. NCBI's taxonomy places the organism in Eukaryota, Metazoa, Arthropoda, Insecta, Thysanoptera, Thripidae.
ACCGCGUGACGGUCACAGCGCUACGGGCGCGGAGAGCAAUGCCUCGCCGCACGGAGUAACGGGAUGGCGGGCCGACGUGUCCUAGGUAACCCUGGGAAAAAUAGUAAGUGGCAAGGUGGCAUUAAGGUGGCAACUAGGUGGCGAGGUGGGCGAAGUGGCAUGUAAGGGGCAAGGAAGUGGCAACGAGGUGGAAUGCGGCCAAGUGGCAUAGAGGUGGCAAGCAGGUGGACCUGGGUGGCAUCAAAGUGGCAUCGAGGAGCCAGCCCCAGGUGGAUGUUAAGGGGCAUCUAGGUGGUAUUGUAAGUGGCAAAUAGGAGGUUAGGUGGAAAGUAACUUAGAAUAAGUGGCGAGCCGUCCUGCCAAACGCGGUCAAUUGGCAUGCAGAAAUCCAAAAAAAUCAAAAAAAAAUCAAACAAAACAGCAGGAGAGAAAUUAUGAGAAGAACUAUUGUGUAUAUAGAAUAUGUAUAACUAUAUUUAAAAAAAAAGUUCAUUUUUAUAGUUUUAAAUAUAUUAGCCAUAAACCAUGUUUAUGUUUUGCUUUCAGCCCUGUAAUAAUUUUAGUCUUUGCAUUGUUAUUAUGUUUUGUUUUAAAAUGUUACUGCAUUUGGUUGGUUUCUCUAAAUGUUAGCCGUUCUGAGAUCUUUUACCUUGGCAAAGCCGCUAACUUUUACGGAACUUAGUGGUGUUAAAAUUGAGCUACUUUUGCAUUGCUCACAGACAUAUAAACGGUUUUGCAUGAAUUCUUAUAGUAAAAGAUUGUUCUCUAUUUGUCUUUAUCUUCACCAAAGAAACAUUUCAUGAUACUUAUGUGUAAAUUAGUAAAAAUCCUAUUGUUUCAUGAUAGAUAUUUUGAGUCGGAUAAGUUUUUAGAUUAGCCGCUGUAAUAAAUUAGAAGGCAGCUAGAAUAUGCUGCAAGCUUUAAAAGCAAUCGGUCAGAUCAAGGAGACUGGAUUUAAAGAAAAUGGUUGACAGAGUGAGCUCUUAUUUGUUUCAUUUUAUAAUGUCUCCUGAAACUGAAAACUUACUGAGUUGAUAGAUCAUAUUUGAAGCUUGCAAUAUACUGUUGCUACCUUCUUAUAUUUCAGUUUCUGAUCUAAUACCUCAAUAUAUACAAAAGUAUUAUGAAAUGAUACGUGGGUCAGAUAAAGACAGAGAGGAAACAAUGCUUUACUAUUGGAAUUCAUGCAAAACCAUUUACAGAUCCAGGAACAAUACAAAGUGUAACAUAUUUAACAUCACCAAGUUCCGUAAAAGCCAGCGGCUUUGGCAAGGUAAUGGAUUCUUGAACGGUUACUACUAAGAGAUAUGACACUCUAUGACAUGCCAACUAAAUACUGAGACAUUUACAACUGGAGUAUAAUAAAUUUAGGACUCAAACAUAUAAGGGUAGAGAGGAAUUACAAGUCAACAAGUCAAAUAGUCAACAACUCACUUGUCUACUUUGGCCUGUGGGCUUGGGGAUUGUGGCAUAUUAUGGGCUAGUCCCAAGUUAAAAAUAUGGUGUGAAAAUAAUGCAUAAUGCAUAAACAUAGCGGCACCACACUAACAUUUCAGUUGACGCCUCCUGAACGUUUGAUCAUAAUCAACUUCAAAAUCUAUUAUCUGAAUUUCAAAUUUGGCACAGAAUUAGUGCUACCAACAGAUAUACUUAAAAUUUUAACUUCAACUUUCCAGUAAAAGUUUAAAGUAACAAACAUAGUGAAUUUAUUCACUUAUUUCCGGGAAAAACAACUUGAACUUUCGUCUUCCAUCUGAGGUUUUCUGUAGACUGAAUUGACAAUUAAAGUAUUGAAGGUAGAAGGGUGGCUGUUUUGCGGUGUUCGUCAACUGUUGAUGUCAACAUAACCUCUAAAGGUAACACGAGUUAGUUUGAGCCGGUUUGUGGGCCUAGACUGUAUGUGUGUCAAUUUUUAAACUUUUCAAUGUAUUCAUGUGAGAAACUACUGAUUAAUCAGUGUGGAGUCGUUAGCAUAAGUGACGGAGUGCGAAAUGCAGUUAAAAUGUAGACGAUUUGUGGACUUUUUAAUCUCAUGAUCGUGCGACCCUGGUAUUUGUUUAUACAUUAACUCUUGUGGAAAUCUCCCUGAUUUAUUCCUAUUGAGAAAUAAAUGUGGACUAGUUAAUGCCAGGACUAAACUGGAGGUGAACAUGCUAUUAUUGCCAUGUACUAAAGUAUCACUUACCCACCAAAACAAUCUAUUGGAGAAUACUUUUCACAGGAUUUGAGCAAUACUGCAGUGUUUCAAAGAAGUUAAUGAGAAGAGUGUGCGCAAGUCUAUUUUCUACAGUUCUUGGCAAACGCAAUUGUGCUAUUGCAUCAUUAGAAAAAUAAAUAUUGUUUACCGAA